CCGGCGCACGGGUGAGUAACGCGUAUGCAACUUACCUAUCAGGAGGGGAUAACCCGGCGAAAGUCGGACUAAUACCGCAUGAAGCAGGGGUCCCGCAUGGGGAUAUUUGCUAAAGAUUCAUCGCUGAUAGAUAGGCAUGCGUUCCAUUAGGCAGUUGGCGGGGUAACGGCCCACCAAACCGACGAUGGAUAGGGGUUCUGAGAGGAAGGUCCCCCACAUUGGUACUGAGACACGGACCAA
Molecule: ribosomal RNA, 240 nt
Filed under: uncultured bacterium
Lineage: Bacteria
Description: partial 16S ribosomal RNA
Rfam family: Bacterial small subunit ribosomal RNA
Source: RNAcentral